AUGAAGGAUCCCCCUGAAGCCAAGGCGGCUCGCGACGUGGCGCUGGCUAAGGCAGCAUGUGCCGUGAAGCGUUGCGGCGAGGUGGAGGCCAAUCUGAAGGCCCUUUGGGAGGAGCAAGCCGCGCACGCACAACAACUCCAACAGCAGGAGGAGGACCUCAAGGCCUGCGAGGCGAAGCUUGCCGAUCGCGAUUCCGUGCUGUCCAAGGUCACUGUUGAUCAAGCCGCGAAAACGCGAGCAUCUGACCAAGCUGAAGGAAGAAGUGGUUCAGGCCCAGACAUCCCAUGCCAAGCACAUCUCCGAGGCGACUGCCUGGCUGGACGCCAGGGAGAAGACCCUUGCCGCCGCUGA
Molecule: ribosomal RNA, 351 nt
Filed under: Triticum aestivum (bread wheat)
Lineage: Eukaryota; Viridiplantae; Streptophyta; Magnoliopsida; Poales; Poaceae
Description: partial small subunit ribosomal RNA
Source: RNAcentral